GUGAAUCAUCGAAUCUUUGAACGCAAAUUGCACUCGAGGCCCCGGCCGAGAGUAUGCCUGCCUCAGUGUCGGUCCACACCCUCGCCUCUUUCACGUUGCGCGAAUGAGCGGACCUGGCUGUCUCGACGUCGAGUCGAGUCCGCUGAAGGACAGAGGCCCGAGCGCGGCUCGCGUUGGGCAACAGUCUGGUAGGUGGGCGACCACAUGCCGCUGUUGGCCUGAGCUGGCGCUGGAAGCCCAAGCAGGAAACACCCAAUGAACAUUCGACCUGAGUUCAGGCAAGAACACCCGCUGAACUUA
This 300-nucleotide unclassified non-coding RNA is filed under the name uncultured fungus. RNAcentral's name for it is "sequence contains 5.8S rRNA gene, ITS2". The stretch from base 1 to 71 matches the Rfam family "5.8S ribosomal RNA", at positions 84 to 154 of the family's 154-position model. The record is from RNAcentral. Lineage: Eukaryota; Fungi.